This 377-nucleotide unclassified non-coding RNA is filed under the name uncultured Actinomycetes bacterium. RNAcentral describes it as "uncultured actinobacterium contains 16S-23S intergenic spacer region". Lineage: Bacteria; Bacillati; Actinomycetota; Actinomycetes. The record is from RNAcentral.
UCCGAGUUGACCCCGGCAGUCUCCCAUGAGUCCCCGCCAUAACGCGCUGGCAACAUGGAACGAGGGUUGCGCUCGUUGCAGGACUUAACCCAACAUCUCACGACACGAGCUGACGACAGCCACGCACCACCUGUGAACCGACCACAAGGGGGCACCUAUCUCUAGAUGUUUCCAGUCCAUGUCAAGCCCAGGUAAGGUUCUUCGCGUUGCAUCGAAUUAAUCCACAUGCUCCGCCGCUUGUGCGGGCCCCCGUCAAUUCCUUUGAGUUUUAGCCUUGCGGCCGUACUCCCCAGGCGGGGUGCUUAAUGCGUUAGCUGCGGCACGGAGGACGUGGAAGUCCCCCACACCUAGCACCCACCGUUUACGGCGUGGACUAC